AGAGUUUGAUCAUGGCUCAGAAUCAACGCUGGCGGCGCGCUUAACACAUGCAAGUCGCACGAGAAAGGGAGCAAUCCUAAGUAAAGUGGCGCACGGGUGAGUAACACGUGGAUCAUCUACCUUUUAGUGGGGAAUACCUCUGGGAAACCGGAGACAAUACCGCAUAAGCCCGCAAGGGGAAAGCAGCAAUGCGCUGAAAGAGGAGUCCGCGGCCGAUUAGCUAGUUGGCGGGGUAACGGCCCACCAAGGCGAAGAUCGGUAGCCGGCCUGAGAGGGCACACGGCCACACUGGCACUGAAACACGGGCCAGACUCCUACGGGAGGCAGCAGUGGGGAAUCUUGCACAAUGGGCGAAAGCCUGAUGCAGCGACGCCGCGUGAGCGAUGAAGCCCUUCGGGGUGUAAAGCUCUUUCGACGGGAACGAUAAUGACGGUACCCGGAGAAGAAGCUGCGGCUAACUACGUGCCAGCAGCCGCGGUAAUACGUAGGCAGCGAGCGUUGUUCGGAAUUACUGGGCGUAAAGAGUGUGUAGGCGGUGUUCCCAGUCUGUUGUGAAAUCUCCCGGCUUAACUGGGAGGGUGCAGCGGAAACUAGAAUGCUAGAGGGUGGGAGAGGUAAGCGGAAUUCCUGGUGUAGCGGUGAAAUGCGUAGAUAUCAGGAGGAACACCUGGUGUAGACAGCUUACUGGACCACUUCUGACGCUGAGACACGAAAGCGUGGGUAGCAAACAGGAUUAGAUACCCUAGUAGUCC
RNAcentral lists this ribosomal RNA (752 nucleotides) under uncultured bacterium. Its description in RNAcentral is "bacterial SSU rRNA". It matches the Rfam family "Bacterial small subunit ribosomal RNA", at positions 8 to 796 of the family's 1533-position model. The record is from RNAcentral.